Molecule: long non-coding RNA, 1364 nt
Filed under: Fukomys damarensis (Damara mole-rat)
Lineage: Eukaryota; Metazoa; Chordata; Mammalia; Rodentia; Bathyergidae
Description: lncRNA (ENSFDAG00000027652.1)
Source: RNAcentral
GUCGUGAACUCUGCUUUUCAAACACGACAGAUUGUUCCAGACAUUCUUUACAAGGACAUAUUAACCUCUUAAACUCUGUGCCUGCAAACAAGACAGAGUGCUCUUCUGAGCAAAUACGAAGGGCUGAAGUCCAGCUGCUCGCUCUGGGCUUCUUGAGCUUGAGUCAUCAAUCUCGUGAGACAGUUGGAGUGUUCUGACAGACAGAUAAGGAAGGAGAACUGUAUUGUCAGCAGACGAGGGGGCUGCCCGAACAAACUGUAUAAAAAUAAACGUGACUGGGUCCUCGGGGCUGCAGUCUUGUCCUGUCUUUGCGCGUGUUGUUUCUGUCAUUUCUUCCUCACAGAUCUAAAAGGACCGCAACAAAUGGUGCCCGAACAGGGACCAGACUGAAGAAGAAACCUAAAGGGAGGGACGAGAGGGGCUCAGCGUGGCCUACCAGGGGAGCACCCACUGUGACUGGCGACAUCACGAGCAGCUGGGGGGGAGUUUACAGAAGAACUGGUCUGCAGACUUCAAAGCUGUCAAGGUCAUCGCUGUUCUUCGUCCUCAGAGGGAUCAUCUCUAAUGGUGCCGGAAGCACGACACAGACCAUUGGCUAAAACAAGGGUGGUGUGGCCGGCAGCAAUGAUGGGGGGCAGGGCUGGCUUCCCUCUAGCUGGUCUGCACCACUGCUGGGAGAACGGCCGUGGUCUGCACCUGGCUUGCCCAGUUGUGUAGCCUGCUUUCAGCCACGUCCCUCAGCAAAUCCGUACACUGGUGUCUCUGAGACGGCGGGACCUCUGGAGGGGAAGGGGUCUGUUGGCAGCGUAAGAGCUAAUCCUGACUAGAAGGAGUUAAAACUCUACUAGAGAAAUUCCAGCUGCAAGGAUAGGGGCAGAGAAAGAGGAAAACCGGAUUAAAACAACAAAAGGCACAGGUGACAGCAGGGGCUUGGCAGAGAGGGAGCUGAGCCGAGUGCUUGGAAGUCAAAAGGCGAAAAAGCUGAGCUAGCUGUUCCUCCCCACCGCUCGGAGAACGUAGGGGAGAUGGAAGGGGAAGAGGGUAAACUUUGGGGAAAUCUCUGUACAUCAAGUUCUGGGUAGAGGGUGGAGUCCCUGACACCCUAUAAGAAAGGCCAGAGACAAAGACCCAUGGGCCCCCCAUCUUUCUGAAGCUCCCUGCCCUCUCUUCAGAGCCGCUUUCUAUCUUUUUCCUUCCCCCCUUACAAAUAAACAGUCUUCCUUUCUAAACUCCGCUCCUUUAAUUUGUUACUGGUACUGAGUUUAUGAUCCCAGUUAGCUGCUCAUCUCAGCAGAGCAGUGUUGCUUGUACCCAGACAUUUUUCUCUGUCUGUGUGUGUGUGAUGCUAGGGAUUGAACCCAGGG